RNAcentral lists this ribosomal RNA (251 nucleotides) under uncultured bacterium. RNAcentral describes it as "partial 16S ribosomal RNA". It matches the Rfam family "Bacterial small subunit ribosomal RNA", at positions 57 to 305 of the family's 1533-position model. The record is from RNAcentral.
GCAAGUCGCGGGGUAACGAUGAACUUCGGUUCAGUCGACGACCGGCGCACGGGUGUGUAACGCGUACACGACCUACCUUACACUGAGGGAUAGCACUGGGAAACUGGGAUUCAUACCUCAUGGUAUUAGAUAAUUGCGAUUUUCUAAUUAAAGGUUUCGACUGGUGUAAGAUGGGUGUGCGUUAGAUUAGCUAGUUGGUAAGGUAAUGGCUUACCAAGGCGACGAUGUAUAGGCGACGUGAGAGCGUGAAC